UUGUACCAAUGUGCCUCUGCAAAGCCAUC
This 29-nucleotide non-coding RNA is filed under the name Mus musculus (house mouse). The record is from RNAcentral. Lineage: Eukaryota; Metazoa; Chordata; Mammalia; Rodentia; Muridae.